Molecule: unclassified non-coding RNA, 539 nt
Filed under: Hevea brasiliensis (rubber tree)
Lineage: Eukaryota; Viridiplantae; Streptophyta; Magnoliopsida; Malpighiales; Euphorbiaceae
Source: RNAcentral
GUCAAAAGAGUAAGAUUCUAUUUCAGGGUUCUCAAAGCAGGUCUAAUCCUGGCAUUAGCUACAUCGUCCAAGUAGAGAGUUUCAUAGAAUACUAAGUUCGAGUCAAGGAAGAUCAAACGAUAUGUAGCAAUUUCUAAUACACGUUGAUAGACAGAUUGAAUGGAUGAAUAGGCUACGUUGAAGUAAGAAAGGGAAGUGGAACGGUUCUUGCAUUGGCUGGCAUGACAAGUACGAGAUGAAGAAAUAGUUCUUGGAGUAAGGGCGAGGGUUCUUGUCUAAAGAAUAGAGGUGAGAAAGAAGAUAAUGCAAAGUGUUGAGUCGGAUGUCAAGGCGUUGUGUUCCCCGGCUAGUUGAUGCCCUUGGAUGAUGAGCUUCUACUACUCCAUGUCGAUGCAUUUCUUCUAUGGUAACUUUGCAUGGAGUAGCUUUCUUCCACAGCUUGAAGAACUUGGAGACGCGAUUGCGUCUAGUUAGCAUAGCUCUAUUUUGAGCUUGGAAAGAUACUCAAAUCGAAGCUAAAUUAUUGAAGUAAAGAUCAG